This 321-nucleotide ribosomal RNA is filed under the name Triticum aestivum (bread wheat). RNAcentral describes it as "partial small subunit ribosomal RNA". The record is from RNAcentral. Lineage: Eukaryota; Viridiplantae; Streptophyta; Magnoliopsida; Poales; Poaceae.
AUGAGCAAGAAGGACUCAAGGGAGGAGGAGCGCCGACGUUACAAAAAAGAGCAAAUGAACGUCUUCAUGGAGAUCCAAAGGAAGAGGCUUGAGAUGGACGCAGAGAAGCAAGCCAAGAUGCUUGAGAUGGACGCGAAGAAGCAAGCCAAUAUUCUAGAGAUCGAGGUCGCCAACGCCAAGACCAAGGCGAAAGAAGUGGCUCUCGCGAGCAUGAUGACCGGGGUGGAGAUCAUGAAGGUGGAUCUCAACACCGUGUCGCCAAGGAAGAGGCCGUGGUUCGAUAAGAUGCAGGCCGACAUGCUCAAGUUUGACGAUGAGUGA